Pantherophis guttatus is the source of this 546-nucleotide non-coding RNA. The record is from RefSeq and is a predicted model, not a curated record. NCBI's taxonomy places the organism in Eukaryota, Metazoa, Chordata, Lepidosauria, Squamata, Colubridae.
AGAGAAGGCCUGGGUCAAAGUCUCUCAAGGUGACCGAAAGAUGCUCCCCCACCACAACUCUGUUGGCCUGUGUUAUGUAGGGCUUUUCGGAUGACCAGCUGUGGCCUGAAUUGUACUCCAAAGCCACUGGGAGAUGGCAAUUGGCAGAGAAGAGAACAAAUUGAGAGACUGAAAGGUGAACACAACAUAUAAGUGUUGGGAACGCUAUCUAAGCUCACCAUCUUCGUCUUCCACGAACUUUUUUGGGGGUCUCGAGACCACUUCCCCAUCUUCAUCAUACUCCUCCUCUGAUUCUUCCGCUUCGCUUUCCACAAAGUCGGACAUGGCUGCGGUUCUCAGCUGCGCUGCCUGGAGGGGGAAGAGGCUGGAAUUAAAAAGAGGCCUCCAAAACUGCUUUACGAUUGUGGCAGAAAACAUUCUGCAUUUGUAACUUUUACACAUACAUUUGCAACUAACGACUAACCCUCGGGUUGCUAACAACCAGAUGAGACGGCAAAGAUUAACAAAGAUGUUCAAAAACAUGUCCACUAAAUGUUGGAAAUGCAA